This 774-nucleotide ribosomal RNA is filed under the name uncultured marine bacterium. Its description in RNAcentral is "bacterial SSU rRNA". It matches the Rfam family "Bacterial small subunit ribosomal RNA", at positions 47 to 817 of the family's 1533-position model. The record is from RNAcentral.
CCUUAUACAUGCAGUCGAACGGUAACAUUGGUGCUUGCACCAGAUGACGAGUGGCGCACGGGUGCGUAACGCGUAUGCAACCUACCUUUUACUAGAGUAUAGCCCAGAGAAAUUUGGAUUAAUCCUCUAUAAUAUCUUAGAAUCUCAUGGUUCAUAGAUUAAAGUUUUAACGGUAAAAGAUGGGCAUGCGUCCUAUUAGUUUGUAGGUGAGGUAAUGGCUCACCUAGACUACGAUAGGUAGGGGCCCUGAGAGGGGGAUCCCCCACACUGGUACUGAGACACGGACCAGACUCCUACGGGAGGCAGCAGUAAGGAAUAUUGGACAAUGGACGAAAGUCUGAUCCAGCCAUGCCGCGUGCAGGAUGACAGCCCUACGGGUUGUAAACUGCUUUUAUGCAGGAAGAAACACUCCGACGUGUCGGAGCUUGACGGUACUGUAAGAAUAAGGAUCGGCUAACUCCGUGCCAGCAGCCGCGGUAAUACGGAGGACCCAAGCGUUAUCCGGAAUCAUUGGGUUUAAAGGGUCCGCAGGCGGUCUUUUAAGUCAGAGGUGAAAGCCUACAGCUCAACUGUAGAACGGCCUUUGAUACUGAAAGACUUGAGUUAUUGUGAAGUGGUUAGAAUGUGUGGUGUAGCGGUGAAAUGCAUAGAUAUCACACAGAAUACCGAUUGCGAAGGCAGAUCACUAACAAUAUACUGACGCUCAGGGACGAAAGCGUGGGGAGCGAACAGGAUUAGAUACCCUGGUAGUCCACGCCGUAAACGAUGGAUACU